UUGUUGCCUCACUAACAGCAGUAGUAGAGGUUAGCGACAGCAACAACUCCGCCUUUCAUGGCCGUCCAUCACCUCCAAGGUUUUGAGCAUAUCGGGAAAGGGAGAGUCAGGAAGCAGUGGAUCUAACACAAUAUUUGGACAAAUGGUACAAAGAAAAUCCCAACAUAUCCCCACCACCACCUCCACCAACCUUCUUUGGAGUCAACGCCAUCAAAGCAGCCAUUUACAACCAUCCAACCAUCGGCGCUGCCAAGGAUCUGAAGCCCAUCACAUAGUGAAGAAAUGAGAAAUAAAGUCAGAUUUGUUGGUCAUUUUGGUGGAGUGAGGGUAAUUGGUGGGAUUGGCUUGGAUCUCCAGUGGUGGUGUAGAUCGGGCGAUUGUGGCUGCCGUGACAGGUGACGUUCAAGGCGGAGAUGGCUGGCACCGGCCAAGGUUGGUGGUGGUUGUGUGUUUGGUUUCUUAAUUUAGUUUGGGUAAUUAAUUAAGAAAAGGCAUAAUGAGAGAAUUUAAUUAAAUAAGAAGAUAAGUGGCAAAUUCUUAUCA
Long non-coding RNA from Quercus robur (English oak), 543 nucleotides. RefSeq lists it as uncharacterized. The record is from RefSeq and is a predicted model, not a curated record. Lineage: Eukaryota; Viridiplantae; Streptophyta; Magnoliopsida; Fagales; Fagaceae. The transcript has 2 exons.